GCGGGAAUAGCUCAGUUGGUAGAGCAUGACCUUGCCAAGGUCGGGGUCGCGAGUUCGAGUCUCGUUUCCCGCUCCA
This 76-nucleotide transfer RNA is filed under the name Pseudomonas aeruginosa. Its description in RNAcentral is "tRNA-Gly". It matches the Rfam family "tRNA". Rfam says of the family: Transfer RNA (tRNA) molecules are approximately 80 nucleotides in length. Their secondary structure includes four short double-helical elements and three loops (D, anti-codon, and T loops). RNAcentral also lists the same sequence under 10 other names. Lineage: Bacteria; Pseudomonadati; Pseudomonadota; Gammaproteobacteria; Pseudomonadales; Pseudomonadaceae. The record is from RNAcentral.